UACGAAGGGGGCUAGCGUUAUUCGGAUUCACUGGGCGUAAAGGGUGCGCAGGCGGUCGGGUGUGUCAGAUGUGAAAUCCCGAGGCUCAACCUCGGAACUGCGUCUGAAACUACUCGACUAGAGUACUGGAGAGGGUAACGGAAUUCACGGUGUAGCAGUGAAAUGCGUAGAUAUCGUGAGGAACACCAGAGGCGAAGGCGGUUACCUGGACAGUUACUGACGCUCAGGCACGAAAGCAUGGGGAGCAAAAGGG
RNAcentral lists this ribosomal RNA (253 nucleotides) under uncultured bacterium. RNAcentral's name for it is "partial 16S ribosomal RNA". It matches the Rfam family "Bacterial small subunit ribosomal RNA", at positions 524 to 776 of the family's 1533-position model. The record is from RNAcentral.